AACUACGACAUCGUCACCAUUGGGGCGCCAGCAGCACACUGCCAAGGUUUUAAGUCAGGAGGUCUCCGCAAAAAGCUGCACAAAUUUGAAGAGACCAAGAAACACAGUUUUGAGGAGUGUUGUACAUCAUCUGGCUGCCAGUCCAUAAUCUACAUACCCCAGGAUGUUGUCAGAGCCAAGGAGAUCAUCGCCCAGAUCAACACCCUGAAAACCCAAGUGAGUUACUACGCAGAGCGGCUGUCAAGGGCAGCCAAGGACAGGUCUGCCACUGGCCUUGAGAGGACACUCGCC
RNAcentral lists this long non-coding RNA (291 nucleotides) under Homo sapiens (human). Its description in RNAcentral is "HSALNT0036232". Lineage: Eukaryota; Metazoa; Chordata; Mammalia; Primates; Hominidae. The record is from RNAcentral.